Long non-coding RNA from Helianthus annuus (common sunflower), 760 nucleotides. RefSeq lists it as uncharacterized. NCBI's taxonomy places the organism in Eukaryota, Viridiplantae, Streptophyta, Magnoliopsida, Asterales, Asteraceae. The record is from RefSeq and is a predicted model, not a curated record. The transcript is spliced from 3 exons.
AUCGAAGAUCCACUAAAAGUAAAACCCUAACUCCGAGGAAAACUCGCCGACCGAAAGUCAAACCAUAACACUUAUGUGAUCAAAGAUGAACCGUUGGUGUAAAAUUGUAAAAGAAAGGAUAUGCCCAAAUAAAUAGUAAUGUUGGUUGUUCUUUUUGUCUUCGUUUGGAUUAAAAAUGACAAUACUCACCAAAUGCCGUUACAUUCUUUCAUCAUUCUACAAGCAAAAAAAGCCCCAUGAGGUGCCGCAACCGCAGAAAACCCUUUCACCGCCACCGCUGACCGGUGGAGAUACGGUAGCAUCACAAGCGAUGAAGAGAAUUCCUCUAAUCAAGUUUCCAAAACGUCAUCCGAAGCCUUCUGGUUCUGCAACUCAGACGUUAGCAGUGCCUGCUGCAAGAAUGUUUCUUCCACUUUUUUCUCAAGGUCUGCCCCAUCGGAGAAAACUCUCGGUGGGAAAGCCUCUCUUCAACCGAAAAGAACACCAAUGACUCAAGAGGAAAUUGAUGCUAUUUUGUUGGGUGGUUGCUUAUGAAGUUGAUGAAGCGGUUUCAAGAGAGAAGACCGUGUAAGACGUUUCAUUUUAGAUACUUUUACGAAAAAACUGCUUUAUGUUAUGGCAAAUCAAAACCAUGAAAAUAUGGUUGAAUCUUAAUCCACCAUUUUUGACCCUCUACAUAUAUUAUAUAAAACAAACAUGUAUAUAGUUAUUCAUAAUACAUCAAAUUUUAUAAAUUCCCUAAACUUGGGAUGUUACAUAU